GAUGAACGCUGGCGGCGUGCCUAACACAUGCAAGUCGAACGGAAAGGCCCUGCUUUUGUGCGGUGCUCGAGUGCCGAACGGGUGAGUAACACGUGUGUAUCCUGCCCUUGUCUUUGGGAUAACAUCAGGAAACUGGGGCUAAUAUCGGAUAGGAUCUCCUGCAGCAUGGUGGGCGUUGGAUAGUUUCGGCGGUUGGGGAUGGACUCGCGGCUUAUGAGCUUGUUGGUGGGGUAGUGGCAUACCAAGGCUUUGAAGGGUAGCCGGCCUGAGAGGGUGACCGGCCACCUUGGGACUGAGAGACGGCCCAGACGCCUACGGGAGGCAGCAGUGGGGAAUAUUGCACAAUGGGCGGAAGCCUGAUGCAGCAACGCCGCGUGCGGGAUGACGGCCUUCGGGUUGUAAACCGCUUUCGCCUGUGACGAAGCGUGAGUGACGGUAAUGGGUAAAGAAGCACCGGCUAACUACGUG
This 468-nucleotide ribosomal RNA is filed under the name uncultured bacterium. RNAcentral's name for it is "partial 16S ribosomal RNA". It matches the Rfam family "Bacterial small subunit ribosomal RNA", at positions 28 to 507 of the family's 1533-position model. The record is from RNAcentral.